UUGGCCAUGUUGUUGUUACUGAAAAAAGUAAAAGUGCAAAAACAUUUCUUUAGGGUUAGGCAUUGUUUUGGCCUGGGUUAAGGUAAGGGUUAGAGUAAGGGUUAGGGGUUAGAUAUGAAUGGGAGUCAAUGGUAUGUCCCCACAAUGAUACAAAAACACAGUGUGUGUGUGUCUGUGUGUGUGUGUGUGUGUGUGUGUGUGUGUGUGUGUGUGUGUCCGUGCGACCUGGCAGUCCCAGGCCUAUAAAAAGCACAGUGGUCUCUUGCCGUCACAUCGACACCACUCUGGACCGGGGCGAGUGACUUUCUCACAGACUGCUCCGCUGGCUUCCUGUGUAUUAUGGCAAGAUCUUAUCUACAGCUGCAGAAGACAUGCUCCCGUCAGAAGUAUACCUUUAGGCCGUUGCCUUUGAUGACCUGAUCCAAGCAAUAGUCAAUGAUGUGAAGACAUCAAGAAGAAGACAAGAAGACAUCCCUGAUACCGUUACCCAUCAGGAGUCUGGUGGUUAUACAGACUAAAGUGUUCAAGACGGUGGUUGUCAAUGGUUGUCGAUUGUAUUUGGUGAUGGAACCAAUAUCUGAUAUGUCUAUGUGACUUUAUUGUAAUAAAGACCAAACAAUCUGU
Long non-coding RNA from Acanthochromis polyacanthus (spiny chromis), 624 nucleotides. RefSeq lists it as uncharacterized. The record is from RefSeq and is a predicted model, not a curated record. NCBI's taxonomy places the organism in Eukaryota, Metazoa, Chordata, Actinopteri, Pomacentridae. The transcript is spliced from 3 exons.